This 459-nucleotide ribosomal RNA is filed under the name uncultured bacterium. RNAcentral's name for it is "partial 16S ribosomal RNA". It matches the Rfam family "Bacterial small subunit ribosomal RNA", at positions 338 to 795 of the family's 1533-position model. The record is from RNAcentral.
CCUACGGGAGGCAGCAGUGAGGAAUAUUGGUCAAUGGACGAGAGUCUGAACCAGCCAAGUAGCGUGAGGGAUGAAGGUACAGAGUAUCGUAAACCUCUUUUGUCAGGGAACAAAGGCGGGGACGUGUCCCCGGAUGAGUGUACCUGAAGAAAAAGCAUCGGCUAACUCCGUGCCAGCAGCCGCGGUAAUACGGAGGAUGCGAGCGUUAUCCGGAUUUAUUGGGUUUAAGGGGUGCGCAGGCGGUCUGUUAAGUCAGCGGUCAAAGCCCGGGGCUCAACCCCGGCCCGCCGUUGAAACUGGCAGUCUCGAGUUGGAGAGAAGUAUGCGGAAUGCGCGGUGUAGCGGUGAAAUGCAUAGAUAUCGCGCAGAACUCCGAUUGCGAAGGCAGCUUGCUGCAGCGGAACUGACGCUGAUGCUCGAAAGCGCGGGUAUCGAACAGGAUUAGAUACCCCAGUAGUC